Molecule: long non-coding RNA, 71 nt
Organism: Maniola jurtina (meadow brown)
Lineage: Eukaryota; Metazoa; Arthropoda; Insecta; Lepidoptera; Nymphalidae
Exons: 3
Source: RefSeq, a predicted model, not a curated record
CUCGAUAAACUUUUUUUUUUGGAUUGAGUAUGCUGCGUAGGCCCUAAGGCCGCUACAGCGUCACCGAGUGG